This 5831-nucleotide long non-coding RNA is filed under the name Gossypium barbadense (sea-island cotton). Its description in RNAcentral is "long non-coding RNA (GBAR_LNC019447)". The record is from RNAcentral. Lineage: Eukaryota; Viridiplantae; Streptophyta; Magnoliopsida; Malvales; Malvaceae.
UCCAUUGGGCUUGAACCCAACAUAUGAAUCCUAAGAAAAAACAGCAAAAGGUAGGCUUACAACAGUUUAGCCCACUUAAAAGUAAAAACCAAUAAAAUAAACAAUUUCAAAACCUCCAGCCGAACGGCCCAGUUAUCUUCAUAAUUUCUUCUGACUUUUCCUCUGUCCAAGACAACUGAAAAGUAAAAGCAAAUACCCUAAAAUCUUUUGCUUUCUGAUUGCUUUUACAAUCGGCAUUCACUCUUUCAUUUCAAUCAUCACUCCCUAAUGCCGAAACCCAAAAUCUUAUCCCCUUUCCUUCUACUCUGAACAACCAAGGCAAUUUGGCUCUGAUUCAUCCCAAAUCGAUCUUAAGGUCUCUCCCUCCAGGUACUGUUCUUCUUUCUUCUUUAGUGAUCUUUUUGCUAAUCUAUGCGCUUCUAUAUUUUCAAACCUUGGGAUGAAAUAGAAUCUGACUUUUUGAAAGAAAUCUUUUAAGCUUUGAAUGUCACUGAUAAUUGCUCCUAUUUCUGAUUAGUCUCGAUUUUCACUUUGACAUUUUGUUAUCACUGCUCUUGAAUCUCCUAUUAUGUCUAAAGUGUGAUAUCCCAACUGGGCCCCUAACAUUGUUGCUUGAAAUCCUGCAUGUGCUUCUGCCGCAAACGGAGAUGCAACAUUGUCAUGAAGGAUUGAUUUUGCUCCAACGAUUCUACCCUCCUCAUUUUUAAUGAUGAGGCCUGACGCUGAUCUGUGGUUCUGUGAGUCAAAAGCCGCAUCGAAAAAGAUGGCCUUAGUCGCCCUUUGUAGCCUCUGUCUAGGCCUUACGCCGGUUUCCAAGGUAAUUACCUUUUCUUUAACUCCUUCCAAUUCUGAAAUGUAGCUUUUAAUUUGCUUGGAUAAAUCCCAACUGGUGCUAAAUUUAUCUUCGCAUAUUAGCUUAUUCCUGCUUGUCCAGAUUACCCAUAAACCGCAGCAAAAUCCCAUGCACUGUUCAUUUGUCCCUUUGCUGAAAACCCAGGUAAGCCAACUCCAGAGAUCUACAUGAUUGUUGUUAAGUACCCAGGAAAAAUUCAAAUGACUCCAUAUUUCUUUCACUACAGGGCAUCUUUGGAAGACAUGGAUGCUAUCUUUUUUUUCCUGACCACAUCUCGAACAGAAGUCCUCAGUCAUUACUCUUCUCAGCUUUAGAUUGGAGAAAGUGGGGAUGUAAUUCCACGUAAUUUUCCAUACUGUAAUUUUAAUUUUUGAAGGCAUAUGUAGAUUCCAUAAUUUCCUGUAAAAAUUUUUAAAAUCGGGCUAUAAAUAAGCAUUAGGAUCAAUUGUAGUCUCUUGUAAUAGUUUAUAGGCGCUUCUUACUGAAAAGAUUCCAGUUGCCUCUCCUCUCCAUACUUGGAUGUCUUCGUGAAUAGUCUUUGAAAGCGAGAUCUACAAGAUCUUCUUUGUGAUAUUCGUAUUAAAGGUACUGAUAAUCAAAUCUCUGUUCCAUGUUCUACUUUCUUUGUUGAUUAAGUCGGCCACUACUCUGAUACUUUCGCCACUGUUGUUGUUCUGUAAUCUGUCUUCAGUCACUCCCGAUACCCAGCGAUCAUUCAAUAUUGAGAUAUGGUCUCCUACACCUACCCUCCAGCAUAAUUCGUCCAUCAAAAUUUUUUUUGUCGACCAAAUACUUCUCCAGGUAAGUGAAGGUAGGUUGCUUAAAGAAGCAUUCAUGAAAUUCGUUCUUGAAAAAUAUUUAGCUUUUAAAACUCGGGCUAACAAAGAACUCGGAUAAUUAAUAACACGCCAACCCUGUUUAGCUAAUAAUGCUAUAUUUAACUUAUCUAAACAUCUAAAACCUAGACCACCCGAUUCUUUUGCUAAGCAAAUGUCCUUCCAUGCGCACCAAUGUAUCCCCUUUUUCCCCUUAUUUUUCUGCCACCAAAAUUUUGCAAUAAUACCCUCUAAUUCCUUACAAAAAGAUUUAGGGAGUAAAAAACAAGACAUUGCGUCAGUUGGUAUAGAUUGUAAAACAGCCUUGAUGAAAAUCUCCUUACCUCCUUGUGAAAGAUAUUUGAUGCUCCAAUUCUCAAUAAGUUGCCUGAAUCUAUCUUUCAAAAUCUGAAACGCUGCAUUUUUCCUUCUACCUACCAAGUUAGGUAGCCCUAGGUAAUUUUCCAUAUCAUCUGAUCUUUGCGCACCAAGAACUCGAGUAAUUGUACGUCUUUCUUCCUCCUAUAAAUUGCUGCUGAAGAAAAUUGUGGACUUCGAAUAGUUUACUUUUUGACCCGAGCAAACUUCGUACUGAUGCAGAAUCUGUUUUAAAUAAAUUGAACUCCUCUCUAAAGCUUCCCUAAACAGCAUACAAUCAUCUGAAAAAAGUAAAUGUGAAACCUGCGGCCCACUUCUGCUUGCCUUAACCCCUCUUACUUUAUUCUCAUUCAUUCCUAGCUUCAUAAUGCUAGAAAGACCUUCUCCACAGAAUAAGAAUAAAAACGGGCUCAAUGGGUCCCCUUGUCGUAAUCCUCUAGUAGGAUAGAAGAAUUCUUCAUUGUGUCCAUUAAGAACCACCGAAUAAGAAACUGUAUUUACACACCUUAAUAGUAGAGCCACCCAUUCUGAGUCGAACCAUAUUUUCUUCAUCAUCCCCUCCACAAAAUUCCACUCUACCCUAUCAUACGCCUUGCUCAUAUCUAGCUUGACCACCAUAAAUCAUUUCUUCCCUACCCUCUUCUAUUUUAGCAUAUGGAGUAGUUCAUAAGCCAAUAACACGUUAUCCGAAAUCAAUCUCCCAGGCACAAAAGCACUUUGUGCAGAAUCAAUGCAUUUGUCUAAUACUUUUCGAAUACGAUUCGCAAUAACUUUAGCCAUUAAUUUGUAUAUAACAUUACACAAACUAAUUGGUCUAAAGUGUGUUAUAUCCACUGGAUUUGAAUUUUUAGGGAUUAAAACGAUAUUUGUUUUAUCGAUUGGGCCAAUCUCCAUCCCUCAAUUCAGAUGAUUGAGACAAAAAGUAGUUACCUCUUCCCUAAUAAUCGCCCAACAUUUCUGAUAAAAUAACGCUGGAAAUCCAUCUUUCCCUGGUACCUUAGUAGGCCCCAAUUCUGACAAAGCCUGGUGGAUAUCUUCCUUUGUGUAUCUCUCUUUUAACAUUAAAUUGUCUUCAUCCGAUAUACAUUGAGAAACUCCAAAUAAAACAUGAUCAUAAUUAGCUCUUCUGCUAGCAGAGAAAAGUUUUUGGAAAUAUGCUCUGGCUAUCAUUUCCAUUUCCUUUAAAUCGUCCGUUUCCCUCCUGUCAUCAUUUUUCAUUUUACGGGUCAAGUUCCUCCGUCGCUUCUGUAUUGCUUGUUUGUGGAAAAAUGCUGUAUUUUUUUCCCCAAGUUUCAACCAGUUAACCCUUGCUCUUUGUUCCCAAUACCGCUCAUCUUUUUUAAUCUUCAGAUUCAGUUGGAUUUUUGUAUCAAUCAGAUCUGCCAAAAUUUCUUCAUCUCUUUUUGUCUCUAUUAAUGUGGCCAGUUUUAAGGAUAACGACUUUUUCCUUCCUUCUCUAGAACUUCGAAUUUGUCUAACCCAUAGCUCCAACCCCUUUUUCAUGCUAUUUAACUUACUUAAGAACUCACCCUCAGAAUGCUUCCAAAUGUUUUUCACCUCAAUUAAGAAUGAAUCCUCCAAUACCCACCAUGCUUCAAACUUGAAAUCUUUAUGUAUUCUCUCUCUACACUCAUUUUUUGUAUUAACCAAUAACGGGCAAUGAUCAGAAAACGUAUGUGGGAGGUGUUGAAUCUAAAAAUUAGGGAAUUUUUGCAGCCAUUCUUCAUUCGCCACUCCCUUAUGUAACCACCCUUGGAGAUUGUUUUCAGGAAAAUUCCCUCUUUCCCAUGUAAACCAGUUUCCAUUGAACCCCAUAUCAGAUAAACUGCACUCCUCUAAUGUCUUACGAAAAACUUUCAUUCGUCCUUCCUCUCACGAUAAACCACCUUUUUUUCUCGAAACUAUAUAGAAUUUCGUUAAAGUCUCCACAUACCAUCCAUGGUAGCUCCACAGCCGUGCUUAAGUGCCGUAAUAGAUUCCAUGCCUCUGCUCUUUCUUAUGGAUAUGGAGACCCAUAAAAACCUGUAAGCCUCCAUUUGCACCCUUCUUCCACUUCAUCAAUGAUAACAUCAAUAUGUCGUUUUGAAAAACUUUGAAGUUGAACAUUUUUUCCAUCUCGCCAGGCCAAGCAUAGCCCACCUCUGGAACCAUCUGAACCAACAUCAAUACCAUUAAAGAACCCACAACUUCUUCUAACUUUUUCCAUAUGACUGCUACUAAUUUUUGUCUUCAUAAAGAAGGCUAUAUGGGGAUUAUAUACCUUCAGCACAUACCGAAAUUUUUGAAUUAUACAUAGACUCCCCAAUCCACGGAUAUUCCAACUUAAAAUUUUCAUUGCGAACGGUUGGCUUGCCACUUGACAGCCGCUGAUAAUUGAUGACUAACUUCCACCGCUCUCUUGCUCCUUUCCGCCAAAACGUUAGUCUCCUCUUUGGCCAAGGCAUCUUCCAUCUCCCUUCUAUUUCUCUUUUUGCCCUCCUCCCCAACAAUCACUACAUCUUCAAUAUCAUGUUCCAUUAGGCUAUUCUCUAGAUUACCACUCCAGUUCCCAUUACCUUUCCCUGUGUAAUAUUCUCUCCCUGCCAGAUUUAUUCCCAAAGCUGAAUCUAGAAUUCCAUUACUACCACUAUUUUCCAUUGGACCCCUGACAUUAGCCCCCUAUUUUGUUUUUCCCCAUUAUUUCCUCUCCCUUGUCCCUCGUUUUCUUCUCCCAACCAUACACUUGUCAUCAUUUGAGUUCGACGAGACUGUGCCUUAAUUGAUAAAUCCCACCCCAUCUCUUUAGUUUCCACUUCUGCCACCAUCAUUUUUUCCCCUAGAUCUCUAAUUUGAACUCCCCUCACGGGAUGCCAUAAACUUGCCAUUGUGCUUCCCAUUGCUGGGUAAUGGACAAUACUUGCUGUUAGAAAACAUCCCACCAAUUGCAAAGCUUCCACUUCUCUAUUUGUUUUCGCAUCAGAUUGAAUCUGGAUAAUUUCGUCUUCCUCUUCCAACGUUAAUCCCGCAAAUUCUGUCUCCAUGCUAACUCAAAGCCUUAGUAGUGAAAAUCAAAGAAAAAUAUGAAAAUAGAUAUGCCGUCACAUCAAAAUCAGAAAACAAAACCAAAAAACCCUAAAAACUACUAGAGAGAGUAGACAGAGACGUGCUAACUUAGCAAACCUAGGAGUUCGACUUGAUAAUUAGGGCAUCCGUCUCUUAAAAUGCUCUAAAGACCAAAAUGAAAGUAAAAUGAAAUAAAAUGGAAGAAUAAAAAAUAAAAAAAUAAGAUAGGACCAGACUGAAACAUGCCACAAAAACGGAAGGACCCAAGGUGUAAAUAGACCACUUUAAAAAAACACGUGAAUCCUAAGGGAUUCGGGUCGGGUAAUCACGUUGACCCCAAGACAACGUCGUUUUGGGACGUUUAGGGCCUGGGUGAAACGACAUCGUUUUAUCAUGCCUAUUUAAGUUAAAACAUUUUCAAAAAAAUCAUUUCCCUUUCAUCUAAAAAAAAUCUGAAAGCUCCCAACUUUUUCUCUCAAACCUUUUCAGGUCCAGCCUUUGAGCCACCAUGGGCCACCGUGACGACAGCAGCAGCUGUCUCUGGGGGCCGAAAACCUAAAAAUUCCCUUUUUUAACUUCGUUUUGAAUUGUUUUUAAACCCUUUUUAAAACCCUUUUAUCUCGAUAAAAAAAUGACGAAAAAAGAGCCGAAGAUCCUUGAGAAACCCUUCGGCCUUUCCUCCGAUGGUAGUGUUGUCUUUCAUCAGAGACAGUGGCCUUGGCCUCGCACGGUGAAUGGCGCAG